This 753-nucleotide ribosomal RNA is filed under the name uncultured archaeon. RNAcentral's name for it is "bacterial SSU rRNA". It matches the Rfam family "Archaeal small subunit ribosomal RNA", at positions 102 to 859 of the family's 1478-position model. The record is from RNAcentral.
AGUCAACAUGCCCAAAGGACGUGGAUAACCUCGGGAAACUGGGGAUAAACCAUGAUAGGCCAAGGUUUCUGGAAUGAGCCAUGGCCGAAAUCUAUAUGGCCUUUGGAUUGGACUGCGGCCGAUCAGGCUGUUGGUGAGGUAAUGGCCCACCAAACCUGUAACCGGUACGGGCUUUGAGAGAAGGAGCCCGGAGAUGGGCACUGAGACAAGGGCCCAGGCCCUAUGGGGCGCAGCAGGCGCGAAACCUCUGCAAUAGGCGAAAGCUUGACAGGGUUACUCUGAGUGAUGCCCGCUAAGGGUAUCUUUUGGCACCUCUAAAAUGGUGCAGAAUAAGGGGUGGGCAAGUCUGGUGUCAGCCGCCGCGGUAAUACCAGCACCCCGAGUUGUCGGGACGAUUAUUGGGCCUAAAGCAUCCGUAGCCUGUUCUGCAAGUCCUCCGUUAAAUCCACCUGCUCAACGGAUGGGCUGCGGAGGAUACCGCAGAGCUAGGAGGCGGGAGAGGCAAACGGUACUCAGUGGGUAGGGGUAAAAUCCAUUGAUCUACUGAAGACCACCAGUGGCGAAGGCGGUUUGCCAGAACGCGCUCGACGGUGAGGGAUGAAAGCUGGGGGAGCAAACCGGAUUAGAUACCCGGGUAGUCCCAGCUGUAAACGAUGCAGACUCGGUGAUGGGUUGGCUUCGAGCCAACCCAGUGCCGCAGGGAAGCCGUUAAGUCUGCCGCCUGGGGAGUACGGUCGCAAGACUGAAACUUAA